RNAcentral lists this ribosomal RNA (460 nucleotides) under uncultured bacterium. RNAcentral's name for it is "partial 16S ribosomal RNA". It matches the Rfam family "Bacterial small subunit ribosomal RNA", at positions 338 to 795 of the family's 1533-position model. The record is from RNAcentral.
CCUACGGGAGGCAGCAGUGAGGAAUAUUGGUCAAUGGGCGUAAGCCUGAACCAGCCAAGCCGCGUGAGCGAAGAAGGUUCUAUGGAUUGUAAACUCCUUUUUUAAGGGAAUAAAGUCAGGGACGUGUCUCGUUUUGUAUGUAUCUUACGAAUAAGGAUCGGCUACCUCCGUGCCAGCAGCCGCGGUAAUACGGAGGAUUCGAGCGUUAUCCGGAUUUAUUGGGUUUAAAGGGUGCGUAGGCGGUCUGUUAAGUCAGCGGUGAAAGUCAGUGGCUCAACCUUAGAAGUGCCGUUGAUACUGGGAGGCUUGAGUGUGUUUGAGGUAGGCGGAAUGCGUGGUGUAGCGGUGAAAUGCUUAGAUAUCACGCAGAACACCGAUUGCGAAGGCAGCUUGCCAAGCCAUGACUGACGCUGAGGCACGAAAGCGUGGGGAGCAAACAGGAUUAGAUACCCGAGUAGUC